CAAUAGCGUAUAUUUAAGUUGUUGCAGUUAAAAAGCUCGUAGUCGGAUUUUGGCUGAGAACGAACGGUCCGCCGUUAGGUGUGCACUGUUUGGUCUCAGCUUCCUGGUGAGGAGGUGUGCUUCACGGCCACUUAGUCACCGUGGUUACUUUGAAAAAAUUAGAGUGUUCAAAGCGGGCUUACGCUUGAAUAUAUUAGCAUGGAAUAACACCAUAGGACUCCCGUCCUAUUUCGUUGGUCUCGGGACGGGAGUAAUGAUUAAGAGGAACAGUUGGGGGCAUUCGUAUUUCAUUGUCAGAGGUGAAAUUCUUGGAUUUAUGAAAGACGAACUUCUGCGAAAGCAUUUGCCAAGGAUGUUUUCAUUGA
Molecule: ribosomal RNA, 365 nt
Filed under: uncultured eukaryote
Lineage: Eukaryota
Description: partial 18S ribosomal RNA
Rfam family: Eukaryotic small subunit ribosomal RNA
Source: RNAcentral